Hemicordylus capensis (graceful crag lizard) is the source of this 994-nucleotide long non-coding RNA. RefSeq lists it as uncharacterized. Lineage: Eukaryota; Metazoa; Chordata; Lepidosauria; Squamata; Cordylidae. The record is from RefSeq and is a predicted model, not a curated record. The transcript has 3 exons.
CCUGUCUGCUGGGCAGAAUCUCAUCAGGCAUGAACUGCCUUUUGUGACUGAGGAGGAAGCAGAAUUCUAGAAUGAUGGGGAAUAAUAGUAAUAGAGACGGAGAGAGGAAUGCAAUGGAUGAAUCAGAGAUGUGCGAGUGUGUCGGGGAAGGCUCUUAUUCCAAAUCUGAAUUUCCUCCUGGUUAACUUUGACACAGUCCAAAACUGCCUUCUGCUGACUAUUGGAAACCUGGGUCACUGGUCGAAUCCAGAUUAAAUUGCCUAUUCAGUUCUGCAGUAGCAUCAGACAACAGAUGGUCUUGUUCACUUGGACUCUUCAGGCUCGGGAAACCAGUUGGCAGAGUGCAACAUCAAGCCUGACUUCUGCUGGGAGAGCUAUGCCUCAGUUGGGUGUGUGGUCUGAACCCAACACAUACGUUGGCAUUGACUUGCAGUUCUGAACCUGACAUCCGUAACCAAGAUUUGAAGCUGGAUCUAGAUGUCGGGUUUGCAACCACAAGUAGCGCAGAAUUUGCAGGUAUUGGUGUGUCCUGACAUUAGGCAUGUCAGCAUAGCAGGUCCCCAAACCAGAAGCUGGACUGGCUACCACGUUCCAGGAAUGGACAGUUCAUCAUUUUCCGUGACCUUUGAACCCAUCCUAAUACUGAAGGUCCUGAACAGAGUCAGCAUUGAGGCUUUGGCUUUAAAUCUAUGCUUGAGAAAAUUUCCAGAGACGGAGGAUACCUCUUCCAUUUCACGACACUUGACUUUGCUGUUUACAUUUCCCCUCCCUCCAUUCCCUGCUACCAAAGGAGGAUAAUAUUUAUGCAUCUGUUGAAGCAGAUGAUAGUCCACAAAUGUUUAUGCUCGAAUAAAUUUCUUAGUCACCUUCUAGAUGCCACAAGUGUCUUGGGUUUUUUUGGGGGGGGAAUCCCCCCCUUUUUUUGCUCUGGAAAUUUGGAAUUCAGUGGUGCCAGCUGGCAAAACUGAGUCAGCCAUGGUUUGGAUAACAGCUA